This 718-nucleotide long non-coding RNA is filed under the name Equus caballus (horse). RNAcentral's name for it is "lncRNA (ENSECAG00000059498.1)". Lineage: Eukaryota; Metazoa; Chordata; Mammalia; Perissodactyla; Equidae. The record is from RNAcentral.
CGGACCCCUGCAAGCUGGAGCCCUCAGUCUGGAGGCCACAGACUUUGCAUUCAGAUCACCUGGGGGACAUUUAAAAAUACAGAUGCCCAGGCUGCCCACAGUGCUUGAGCCCAGGCAUCAGUAGUGUUUAAAGUUCCCAGGUGAUGGUAAUGUUCAGCCAGGACUGGGGGAGUAGCUUCCCGUCAUCUCUUUCUUCUCGAAUCUACUUUUAACCCCUGGGCUCAAAAACGGACACACCUGCCAGGGCCAAGAAGGAACUUAUUCAGUCUCUGAAGAACGGAUUGGAGAAAGACCAGUGAGGCCUGUGAAAAGGCUCAUCCAGUGUCCAAGCCAGAGAUGGUGGCAGCUGGACCGCUGAGAGCACAGAGGGAGAAACAGACGGCUCUGAAGGCAGCCAACAGGACCCGAGGAGGAUUCGACAAUGAGAAGGCUUUGUGCUGAGAGUAGGGGACCCCGAAUGAAUGACUACCGUCCUGCAGAAUACUGCUCACAGCCCAGCAGGGCAAUCAGCCAUGGAAAUGAGCAGUGCUGUAUGAUGUGGUAGGUGCAAGAGGAGAAGAACAGAUACAGGUCUACAUUUCCAGAUGCGAAUGCCAGGACUCACAGUUGUACAAAUACAGCCUCACCCAUGCGGACAUGAUCAGGGAUGUGGAGACUUUGUGAGACCGAGUAUGGCCAGUGAUGAGGAUGUUUACAGACAAGGCUAUGGCUAGAACCG